GUUAUCGUGGCCGAGUGGUUAAGUCGAUGGGAUCUAUAUAUUUUGGUAUCUUUCCGCGCAGGUUCGAAUCCUGCCGACAUCG
RNAcentral lists this transfer RNA (82 nucleotides) under Dreissena polymorpha. RNAcentral describes it as "tRNA-Ile". Lineage: Eukaryota; Metazoa; Mollusca; Bivalvia; Myida; Dreissenidae. The record is from RNAcentral.